This 1036-nucleotide ribosomal RNA is filed under the name uncultured Aciditerrimonas sp. Its description in RNAcentral is "bacterial SSU rRNA". It matches the Rfam family "Bacterial small subunit ribosomal RNA", at positions 9 to 1057 of the family's 1533-position model. The record is from RNAcentral. Lineage: Bacteria; Bacillati; Actinomycetota; Acidimicrobiia; Acidimicrobiales; Acidimicrobiaceae.
GAGUUUGAUCCUGGCUCAGGACGAACGCUGGCGGCGUGCUUAAUACAUGCAAGUCGAACGGGGUCCAUCCGGGGGUAACCCUGGUGAAGACCUAGUGGCGAACGGGUGAGUAACACGUGAGCAACCUGCCCCGAAGACCGGGAUAACACCGGGAAACUGGUGCUAAUACUGGAUGCCCCCACCGGGCCGCAUGACCCGGUGAGGAAAUGAAUUUCGCUUCGGGAGGGGCUCGCGGGCUAUCAGCUUGUUGGUGGGGUAACGGCCUACCAAGGCGACGACGGCUAGCUAGUCUGAGAGGACGACCAGCCACACUGGGACUGAGACACGGCCCAGACUCCUACGGGAGGCAGCAGUAGGGAAUCUUGCGCAAUGGGCGAAAGCCUGACGCAGCAACGCCGCGUGGGGGAUGAAGGCUCUCGGGUUGUAAACCCCUAUCAGCAGGGACGAAAUUGACGGUACCUGCAGAAAAAGCCCCGGCCAACUACGUGCCAGCAGCCGCGGUAAUACGUAGGGGGCGAGCGUUGUCCGGAUUCAUUGGGCGUAAAGAGCUCGUAGGCGGCUUGGCAAGUCGGAUGUGAAAACUCCAGGCUCAACCUGGAGCCGCCAUUCGAUACUGCCAUGGCUAGAGUCCGGUAGGGGAGUGUGGAAUUCCCGGUGUAGCGGUGAAAUGCGCAGAUAUCGGGAGGAACACCGAUGGCGAAGGCAGCACUCUGGGCCGGUACUGACGCUGAGGAGCGAAAGCGUGGGGGAGCGGACAGGAUUAGAUACCCUGGUAGUCCACGCCGUAAACGUUGGGCACUAGGUGUGGGGCCUUAUCAACGGGUUCCGUGCCGCAGCUAACGCAAUAAGUGCCCCGCCUGGGGAGUACGGCCGCAAGGCUAAAACCCAAAGGAAUUGACGGGGGCCCGCACAAGCGGCGGAGCAUGUGGCUUAAUUCGAUGCGACGCGAGAACCUUACCUGGGCUGAACUACGCGGGAAAAGCCGUACAGAUACGGUGUCGUAAGGGUCCGCGAUAGUGGUGCAUGGCUGUCGUCA